UGUGUGGCCCACAUGUCAUAGGCUUAUAUAUUUUUAUCUAAUUUAUCUUUUAUCUAACCAUAUGGCCUAUACACUACACCUAACCACUAAUUAGCCUAACUACUACUAAUUAGCUACUAACCUAAACAGGGCUGGCCUCAUCCAGAGAUCUAGCCGGCCACACGCACAUGGCCUCACACACGCAUGCUGCACCUACACACACGGCACACUACACAGGGCUGGCCAGAGGCACACAGCCGUGGCAUAGCCGGCCACACACACCACACACAUACAACCCCCAUACACACCCAUAACACACACGCACACUCACCCCAUAGUACACUCGACAAUCAUCGAACCGUGGUGGUCGGGGAUGCGCGCCACGGCGAGAUCCUGCCUCCCCUAUGUACGGAGACAGGAGAAGGCCUUUGGUGGGCUGGGCCUGAGUACUAUUGCAAUAGGCUUAAGUGCACAGUAGGUAUAGUAUAUUAUCCCUUUUUCUUCUUUGUAUUAUUUUUCACCACUAUUUUGCAUUUAUAUUAUGCAGUAAAUUAUUAUUUUUAUCAAUGAAACUUUGCUCAUAAAUCUUAGUCAACAAUACAAGGUUGCACAAAAAGUUUGAGGCCAAAUGGAACUGUUUAAAUUUACAUUUGAAUUUAAGUUUGUUUAUUUAACCCUGCUAGUCCACUAAAAUAUUUUUAGGGGCAAUUUUAGAAGUCAUUUGAUGUUGGUUCCUGCAUGCUAAUUACUUAAUGAAUAUUUGCAACCCAACAAACAUUUUUGUUUUACCGUUUGAAGAAAUAAUAAUUUGACUUGUAAUUAAAAUUUGAAUUUGACUUGAUUUUUGGGCAAGUGGCAAUUUGCACAGUAAUCAUGAUGACAUGGUCACCAUUAGGGGGGAGAUUACUGUAGCAUGAUUCUCGGGGUGUUACAAAUCUCCUCCACUACAAGAAAUCUCGUCCCGAGAUUUAAGAGGUCCACUACAAGAAAUCUCGUCCCGAGAUUUAAGAGGUAGAGUUAAGGGGGGGAAUCGGUUAUGAAAUUCUAAUGGAUCUUCUCAUUCUUGGUUGCUCUUCUCAAAUAGGUCGACCCAUUACUUUGAUGUCUUCAUUUUUCUGCUUCAGGUCAUCAUGAUGAAGUCGUCAUCCUUUCUUCGAAGUCUUCAUCGUACUUACGUAUAGGUAAGGGGAAGCUUGGCAAUGAUAGGAUGAUAUAAGGGGUAAUCAUAUGGGAUUAUCCCAUUAAUGAACUCAUGAGUAUCUCUCGAGUUGACCAAAUGAAACACAUCGAGAGCAACAAGGUACAAUAAGAAGUUUCAAGCGGAUAGACAAUCGUCCAAUGUGUGAAAGAGUGUGAAAAGGGGUUCAGAGCAACGAGAAUAAGUAUUGCAUCUGUUACCAGAAUAGAUCACCAGUAAUGUGGCUCGUGAAUUACAUACGAAGCCAAGCGUGAGGAUUAAAUUUUGAAACAGGGGUGUAUCGGAGAGUCAGGUUUCGAUCAUAUGGAACUAUGGGUUAUGGGCCUACCAUGUAGUUAAAAGUAGGAAGGGCGUUGACAUCUUGCACGGUCAUGAUAGCAAGACAUGUCAUAGGCUAGCCUAUCAGUUAUGUCAGCAAAAAUGUCGGUAACAAGGGCGAGGGACAAAGAGAACCAUUUUCCUGCUCGUUGAAUGAGGUGGACCAUUAGACAAAGUUCUCGUCCAUCGGUGGCUACCGGAAUGUCGUCAACAAUAGUAACAAGGUCUUGCUUGAUAGAAUUGUACAUCGAGGUGUUUACAUAAGCAGGAGAAUAUUACUGCUUAAAUCAUAUAAACCACGAGAAAGGUUAAACAAGACAAUGGAAAGGAAAAUGUGAUCAUCAGAUUAAAUAGAACAAUGAAAAGGAAAAUGUGUUUAAGCACAUAUUUCAGGGGUAUAUCCUUCCCAAGGACAAGCAGAGCAUGAUAUCCAUGACAUGAUAGAAGGUAGAAAACCAUUUAGGUAAGGGGAGAAAAAUUUCCUGACAUUACCCAUACAACGGUGUUUGGAUAAUUAAUAAGGAAAAUUUAGGAUCGUGCUUCAAGUGUUCUUAUUGAUGAUAGGACUACCACAUACAUGCUUCGAGAUAGCAUUGACAUGGUCCUCAAGCAAAGGUCGAACUUCGGAUACACAAAGGAUCCCUCGGGAUAAACUUAUUAAACAAGGCAUUCAAUUUCCUCAUGAAAAAAAUGGUUAACCUUGUUAAAAAGGAAACUAUAACACUAGGUCCUCUGGUCAGGUGUGCUAGGCAUGACAUCACCUUACCGGGUCAUAUAAAGACAAUUGUUAUAACUCUUGGAAAUAUGUCCCAAUCAUCAUCUCUGACAGAGAUUUAGAUCUGAUUGGUGUCAGGAUGCCUCAGAGUCAGGAUGCCUGACAAGAGAAAGGUGCGACACAAAUUGUCGAGAUGACAUUGCAAGAUUCUCGGGGAAAUGAACUAUGGAAGUGAGUUCCGAAACAAGAGUUGUAUCCAAGGAGAGGAAGAGGAUGUGGCUGAUGGACUCAACAAAAAUUAUCGAGAUUAACAAAAGAUGGAUUUCCACAAUUAUGUGAAUGAUACGUCCCCAACGUAUCUAUAAUUUUUGAUUGUUCCAUGCUAUUAUAUUAUCAAACUUGGAUGUUUUAUAUGCAUUUAUAUGCUAUUUUAUAUGAUUUUUUGGACUAACCUAUUAACCUAGAGCCCAGUGCCAGUUUCUGUUUUUUUCUUGUUUUAGAGUAUCGCGGAAAAGGAAAAUCAAACGGAGUCCAAUUGACCUGAAACUUCACGGAACUUAUUUUCGAAGGAAACCAAACCGGGAGACUUGGAGUCCACGUAAGGGAAGAAACGAGGAAGCCACGAGGCAGGGGGUGCGCCCACCGACCCUGGGCGCGCCCUCCACCCUCGUGGGCCCCUCAUGGCUCCCCUGACGUACUUCUUCCGCCUAUAUAUCUCCAUAUACCCUAAAACGAUCGGGGAUCACAAUAGAUCGGGAGUUCCACCACCAGAAGCCUCCGUAGCCACCGAAAACCAAUCUAGACCCGUUCUGGCACCCUGCCUGUAACAUCCCAAAUUUUCAAUUUGGAAUGUUAUACAUAGAUCAUUCUUGCAUAUCAUAUUUUAUUGCAUUUCGUCUCGUGAUCCUCGAAAUCCUAAGCAACUCAAGGACCCUUAAGAGAGUUGGGGAUUUCCCAGAUUUCAUAUUUGAUUUUUAUCAAAUAUUGAAACAAGGACUUUUGGUUUUAAUUAUUUUUCUCUCCGAAAAUAUUUCAUAUUAAAAUAUAUGAGAGGAGAUAAUAUGACUUCUCCAAAAUAAUUGAAAUAUUGGAGGAAAAUAUUGAAAUCAAAUAUUUGAUUUUAUUUGCAUUAGAAAAAUUGCACGUUUUCAAAAUUGCACUUUAGGGCCAAGAAAAUGUUCAUCUCGUUCUAAAUAUUUUAUUUAGACGGAAAAAUUUUGUUUUGGCAUUUUUAGAUUUUUAUUUUAUUUUCUAGGAUUUUUCUUAGUUCCGGCGGAAAUAUAUUAUUUAAAAAAAGGUUUCCGGACCCAGCUGGGCCGAAGCCCAGCCGGCCCGUCCCGGCCGUCUCCCUUGCGCGCGUGCCGCUGUGGGUAACUCGGACGCCCAGGGGAGUCCGAGCCGGACUCCUCCCCGGGCGCCCCCUCGCCCAAGCAAGCCGCCGCCCCCGCCCCUUUUAAAGGCCGCCGCCGAGCCCCGCCACCACCACCACCCCGCCACCACGCAGCCCGCUCCCGAGCCGCGGCCCGCCGCCUCCCGCGAGCCGCCACCGCCGCCGCUUCGCUGCCCCGCUGCCCCGCGAGCCCUGCCGCCCGAGCCCCGCCUCGCCGGAGCCACGCCGGAGGUACCUCGCCGCCGUUCGUUUUAAAAAAAACAAUCUGGUUUUUUUAGAAAAACCCUAGCCUGUUUUUUUUUCUUUUUCGCGGAUGUUCGUUCGAACGUUCGUUUUAACGAACGGUUUUCUCCCGUUAGUUACAGACAACGAACGCUCGUUCGUUAGCCUGUUCGUUAGUUUCCUUUUAUCAGAUUAUUCCGCGAUUAUUUGUGAUCGCGAUUUCUGAUCCGAUUUUCGUUCUAGUUUAUAUUUUCGCUCGUUUAUCGGAAUCAGGCGAUUCAAGCGCCUAGAUCUUCGUCUCGAGACCUUCUUUCCGCUUAACCAACUUGCAAAAAUAUUUGCUACUGUAAAAUUUGACCUAGGUCCAGAUUAGUAAAUGGAUCUUGUUUCUUUCGCCGUUUGAGUUUCGUUGCUCCGUUUGAUUUGAUUCUUUUUGCAAACCGGAGUUCUUAAGUUGCACUUUCUGGUUAGAUCUUCUUAUUUGAGAUUUACCUAUGUUUCUUAGCUUGAUUGCUUAUGUAAGUUAUUGUUUGUUUACGAUAGAAUUCCUGGAGUGCGAAGCGUGUUAUUUGGAGUCUCUAGGUUACGCGGAUCGUCAGCAAGGCAAGUAACACUUUGAUCAUAUCCCUUUAUCACCCAGUUUUUAUGCAUUAGUUCCAAUCCUCAAACAUUGCAUGGUUAGGAUGUCAUUAACAUGUGGGUUGGGAAGUAGCUGAUGAGGUAGAACCUAUUACCCUGUUACAUUCAAACCCCUGGGAGUUACUUCUACGCGUUGCUUAUAUUUCUAUGUUAUGCUCGUAGACGCGGUUUGGGUGAGUGAAAUCCAUGACAGAUGUGAGAUUGUUAAUUAGUGGUUCAACUUAAGGUGGCAACUUAAAUACACAUCUUGGUGGAUUGAGGCACCUGGAGUACCCAGUGCUGCCUGUAUUUUUGGAAAUCCCGGAGUACCCGUGUGAUCUUCCUAUGGACCGCCACCCAGGCUCAAAGGGAGUUGAUAUUAUUCAUGCUAGAAACUGACGUGUGCAGCCACAAGCUAUAAUGGGCUCUAGCAUAGUUGAGUAAGUUACGUGAAGCUCUUAAAGAGGUCGUGUGCAGCCACAAGCUAUUAUGGGCUCUAGCAUAGUUGAGUAAGUUACGUGAAGCUCUUGAAGAGGUGGAUCAGCAGGUAGUGGGUUUGUAGGUUUGGUAUGGUCUGCCCGGAGUAGAGAGUUAAUGUUCUGAAAGACUGUGUCUCGGUAAUCCGUUUCUCAAACACCCUGUAGUGAGAGAAAACCAAUGGAGGAGAUCGAGUCUUGUGGGGAAAAGUGCGCAAACCUCUGCAGAGUGUAUAAACUAAUCAUGGUUAGCCAUGUCCCGGUUAUGGACAAUCUUGAAUAUCUAGUACUUGGAGUAUCUUAAGUAUCUCAUCACCCUAAAAAUAAUAUUGUUGGGUUGUUAAUCACCUUAAUUGGGAUUGAGUUGGAGGAACCUUCUCAAUGAUGUUUCAACUACCAUGAUAGUUAAGUUAAACUCUAUUCCUUUGUCAUAGGGAAAAAUUGGCUUUUCGCAAAACUAUAACCAUAGAGCUUUCCACCAGCCAAAUAUGCAUGUAGUGAUAGCAUUAUUCCGUUCCUGCUCUACUGUGUUAUUUUGCUAGCAUAUUCCAUGUGUUGACCCGUUUUCGGGCUACAACGUAUGAUGUUGCAGACUUUUCAGACGAGGAGUAAGGUUCGUUAGGUCGUUGCCGUGCAGCUCAGCUAUGCCGUUGGAGUUGAUGGACUCACUUUAUCUUCCAAGCCUUCCGCUAUUAUCGUUUUAGAUGGCCUUAAGCCAUAUUUAUUGUAAUAAGUUCUCUUUGGAGACAUUCGAUGUAAUAAGUGUGUGAUUGCAACUCUGUUAUAAAUCCUCGAGUACUGUGUGUGUCAGCAUUACCGAUCCAGGGAUGACACUGAAGCACAGAGACUUGACCGUUUGAGGUCGGGUCGCUACAAGAUGGUAUCAGAGCACACGCUGAUUGUAGGACACGACCACUAAGCUAAAGCCAUAGAUCACUAUUCUCUUCUCACUUCUGACUCCUCUCCAUUUUCUACUCUUUAGGAUGGCGGACGCAAGGAACAAGUUUGCACAACCGGAUGAAGAAGCACCUUUUGGACGACACCUGAAGGAAGUCACUAGGUACCCGAACAUAGGAAUACCAAGCUUCACCGGGACCUACAACGCCACUUUGCCGGAAGAGGAGCGAUGGAUGAUUCAAGUUCAAGUUCCAAGAAGGACCUUCAUGCCAGUCACUAAACCUAUAGAGUUUUCCUUCGACGCACCAACCUGUAGUUUAGGAAAGAGUAUGGCAACUCACAUCACCAUGGGACGCAUUGGAGAAGUAUAUCACAAGGAUCUUAAGGACACUAUCUACCAGAUAUGUGGGCGCCGAGACGAGCAAUGGGAGAUGAUCAGUACCAAGAAGGAUAGAUCAAUUGCAGCUUUCAUCUAGGAGUUAAACCAGCACAUUCGACGUCAGGAGAAUCAGAUGUGCUCUGACAUGAUAGAUUUGAAGAAGGUGAAGACAAGGAUCAUCGAUCUGGAAGAAGAACUUAAGUCUACAAGCGAUGGAUAUGAGGAGGAAAUUGCGACACUACUGGAGAAGAAUGAUGACCUGAUUAAGAACAUCAGAAUAUUUAUGGGAGACCCCACACCAGUAUAAGAAGAUGAAGAACCCAAGGAGAUUCGCCCAGAGGACUACAUCAUCAUCGACGACACCGACUCCGACCUUAGCGAUGAUGACUUUGAAGACGAAGUUCGAGCAGAUAUCAUGGACUCUUCAACUGAGGAAUAUUUUUAGUAGACCACCAUAUCAGUAGUAGUAUUCCACCAUGUAAAUAAAGUAGUCCGAGCACUUUUGCGAUAGUUAGAUCGAUUGUAUGCCUUGAUUGAUUGAUUGAGUGAAAUGUUUGUGUUUGUCUCAUGUGCAUAUGGGUAGUGCUUUCUCAUUAGACCUCACUCUAUUCUAAUCUCUCCCCUCUAGACCCAUCAGAUGCCUCCGAGACGUGACCCCGUAUUUGCUUUCCCACCCGAGCUCACUCAGUUCAUCCAGCAGCAGAAUCCCCUGAUGCAGUUGUUAGUUCAGAACCAAGGCAACAACAACAACAACAACAAUCCACCACCACCACCACCAAUUGACAACUUAGCCCGUUUUCUGAGGUUGCAGCCACCGGUGUUUUCCAAUAGCACCGAGCCUAUAGUAGCAGAUGAUUGGCUCCGCGGGAUUGGAAGAGAGUUAACCACUGCAGGAUGUACUGAUGCUGAGAAGGUGCGUUUUGCCGCACAUUAGUUGGAUGGACCAGCAGCAUCAUGGUGGGAGAAUUACACUGUCACCUACCCUAUAGCCAUGGUGACAUGGAACCAGUUUUAGCAAGCUUUCCGUACAGCCCAUGUCUCAACUGGAGCAAUGAGUAUGAAGAGGCGUGAGUUUCCCAACCUACGCCAGGGGAACCGUACUGUGGCUCAGUACGCGGAUGAGUUUAGCAAGUUAUCUCGCUAUGCCCCUGAUGAUGUGGACACAGAUGCUGCAAAGUAGGAGAAGUUUAUGGAAGGGCUGAAUGAUGAGAUGAGUAUGCAGUUGAUGGUGGCAACAUUCACCAACUACCAAGAGUUGGUAGAUAAGGCUCUUAUGAUUGAAGGGAAGCAGCAGCAGAUUGAGAGCCGUAAGAGGAAGUAUGGACAAGGGAGGUAUAGCUCAGGAGCUCAGCAGAAGCCUCGCCUAACCCCGAACUCGGGAGGACUUGUUCAUAACCAUGGAGGACACACCCAUAAUGGAGGGAGUAACCAUAAUCAUACUGGCCCUAGGAAUGGGAAUGGAGCAAGCAACAAUCAGAACCGCCCAAAUCCAGCCACACCCACCAAGAGAGACCUAAGCCACGUUACUUGUUUCAAGUGCGGGAAGACUGGGCACUAUGCCACGGAGUGCCCUGAAGGGAAGAAUGGAAACGGAAACUGGAGUGCUAAGCCCAACCCAUUCAACAAAGGACAAGUAAACCACGUUAACGUGGAGGAGGUUAAAGAGCAGCCAGACGCGGUUAUAGGUAAGUUUUUGGUUAAGUCAUUUACCGCUCUUGUUCUUUCGAUACUGGUGUAUCGCAUUCAUACAUAUCAAGGGAAUUCGUGGAUAAGUUUAAACUACCGACCCAAACCCUUAGGACCCCUCUGUUAGUAAGUUCACCUGGAGCAGAGUAUAUGGCUAGUCGAUGGUGUGAUCAGAUACCCUUAACCAUUGGCAACCAUGUUUUUCCGUCCAACCUAAUUAUCUUGGAGUCACAAGGGUUGGAUGUGAUAUUAGGUAUGGACUGGAUGUCAAGGUACGGAGGAAACAUUGAUUGUGUUAGUAAGUCAAUUUGUCUCACCACCUCAGAGGGAAAAAGGAUCAAGUAUAUAUCUAGGCAUGCGCCAAGAAGUAGCCAAGUAAAUACCCUCAUGGGAGUUGUUCAGGAAGAAGUGCUUGUAGUAAAGGAUUAUCCAGAUGUUUUUCCAGAGGAGUUACUAGGCAUGCCACCGGAUCGAGAUAUCGAGUUUUUGAUUGAGUUAUUACCAGGCACAGGGCCAAUAUCCAAGAGACCCUAUAGGAUGCCCGUGAAUGAUCUAGAGGAGAUUAAGAAACAGAUCAAGGAGUUAUUGGAGAAAGGUUAUAUUCAACGGAGUUCAUCACCAUGGGGAGCUCCAGUGCUAUUGGUUGAAAAGAAGGAUAAAUCCCUAAGAAUGGUUGUUGAUUAUCGGGCAUUGAAUGAAGUGACGAUUAAGAACAAGUACCCAUUGCCGAUGAUCAAUGAUCUGUUUGACCAGCUGCAAGGAGCUAAUGUGUUUUCGAAGAUUGAUCUACGAUCAGGAUAUCAUCAGUUAAAGAUACAAGAGAAGGACAUACCCAAGACGGCCUUCACCACAUGGUACGGGUUAUACGAGUAUACGGUCAUGUCGUUUGGACUGACUAAGGCCCCUGCCUAUUUCAUGAGCAUGAUGAACAGGGUGUUCAUGGAGUAUUCGGAUAAGAUUGUUGUGGUGUUCAUUGAUGAUAUAAUGGUAUAUUCAAAGGAUGAAGAGGAACACAAGGAGCUUUUGCAAUUAGUUCUCGAGAAACUCAAGGAACAUCAGUUAUAUGCCAAGUUCAGCAAAUGCGAGUUUUGAUUGAAGGAAGUCGGAUUCCUUGGACAUGUUAUAUUAGGAGAAGGUAUAGUAGUAGAUCCCACCAAGGUUCAGUCGGUCACUGAAUGGUUGGCACCCACUUCAGUUAGCGAGAUCCGCAGUUUUCUUGGACUCGUAGGAUACUAUCGGAGAUUCAUUGAGAAUUUUUCCAAGAUUGCGAAGCCCAUGACAGAAUUAUUGAAGAAGGAUACCAAGUUUAAAUGGACGGAAGAUUGUGAGGCAAGUUUCUAGGAGCUGAAGAAACAUUUGACUACAGCCCCAGUGCUGACACUGCUGGAUAUACACAAGGAUUUUCAAGUGUAUUGCGACGCCUCUCGCUUAGGACUUGGAGGUGUGCUUAUGCAGGAUGGAAGAGUUGUUUCGUGUGCCUUGCGACAACUAAAACCACACGAGUUGAAUUAUGCCACGCAUGAUUUGGAUCUAGCAGCCAUGGUUCACGCGUUGAAGACUUGGAGACAUUACCUUGUUGGAAAUCAUUGUGAUGUGUAUACGGAUCAUAAGAGUGUGAAGUACAUUUUCACCCAGAAGGAGCUGAACCUUAGGCAAAGAAGAUGGUUGGAGGUUAUAAAGGAUUAUGGCAUGAAGCUUCAUUAUCAUCCAGGAAAGGCCAAUGUCGUAGCAGACGCCUUGAGCCGGAAGAGCUAUGCUAAUACCCUAAUAAGCAUGGGAUUGCCGAAGGAGUUAGCAGAGGAUCUCCGGGAACUACGUUUGGAGAUUGUUCCUAGAGGUUUUGUUGCAACAAUGGAGGUGCAGUCUACAUUGUUGGGAAAGAUGCGAGAAGCUCAGAAGGAUGACAAAGAGAUUGCCGAGAUAAAGGAGAAAAUGAGCAAAGGAAAGGCCAAAGGUUUUCGUGAGGAUGAGCACGACACCUUAUGGUUUGAGGACCGUGUUUAUGUGCCCAAUAACGCAGAAAUUAGGAAAUUAAUACUUCAGGAGGCACAUGACUCACCAUACUCGAUACACCCGGGAACACCAAGAUGUAUUUGGAUUUAAAGGAACAUUUCUGGUGGACAGGGAUGAAGAAGGAUAUCGCCGAGUAUGUGGCCGUAUGUGAUGUAUGUCAGAGAGUGAAGGCAGAGCAUCAAAAGCCAGCAGGAUUGCUACAGCCUAUGCCGAUACCCGAAUGGAAGUGGGAUAAACUUGGCAUGGAUUUUAUCACCGGAUUACCCAGGACCAAAUCAGGAUACGAUUCUAUAUGGAUAGUAGUUGACCAUUUAACCAAAGUGGCACACUUUAUCCCAGUGAAAACAACUUAUACUAGUGCAAAGUUGGCCAAGAUAUAUAUGACUAGGAUCGUAUGUCUGCAUGGAGUUCCGAGGACCAUCGUAUCGGAUAGAGGGACAUAGUUUACCUCAAAGUUUUGGCAUCAACUGCGCCAGACCUUGGGAACCAGAUUGGAGUUCAGUACAUCAUUUCACCCGCAGACAGAUGGACAGACCGAGAGAGUCAACCAGAUUCUGGAGGACAUGUUGAGAGCCUGUGCGCUAGAUUAUGGAUCUAGUUGGGAUGACAAUCUGCCUUACGCAGAGUUCUCAUACAACAAUAGUUACCAAGCCAGUCUGAAGAUGGCACCGUUUGAAGCUUUGUAUGGCCGAAGGUGCAGAACGCCAUUGAUGUGGGAUGAAGUUGGAGACCGACAGUUGUUUGGACCAGACUUGAUCAAAGAGUCUGAGGAGAAGGUUAAACUGGUCUGGGAUAGACUGAAGAUAGCCCACUCCAGGCAGAAGAGUUAUGCAGAUUCGAAACACAAGGAGGUAACCUAUGAAAUUGGAGAUAGAGCAUAUUUGCGAGUAUCACCUUUGCGGGGAGUGAAACGUUUUGGAGUUAAGGGAGAGUUAGCCCCGAGAUUUGUAGGACCAUAUCGUAUUUUGGAACGGAUGGGGAAGUUGCAUACAAGUUGGAGUUACCCGAAGGACUGUCAGGAGUUCACGAUGUGUUUCACAUUUCCCAGUUGAAGAAGUGCCAUGCUGAGAUGGCCGACAUACCACUAAGAGAUACCGUACCCAUGGAGGUGAUUCAGUUGGGCAAUGACUUGACUUAUGAAGAGAAGUCAGUCAAGAUUUUGGAGUUUGCCAGUCGAGUCACCCGCAGCAAGGUUAUUAAGUUUUGCAAGGUUCAGUGGAGCCAGCAUACCGAGGACGAAGCCACAUGGGAACGAGAGGAUGAUCUCCGCAAGGACCACCCACACCUAUUUUCUAGCCAACCCGAAUCUCGAGGGCGAGAUUCAUCUUAAGAGGGGUAGGUUUGUAACAUCCCAAAUUUUCAAUUUGGAAUGUUAUACAUAGAUCAUUCUUGCAUAUCAUGUUUUAUUGCAUUUCAUCUUGUGAUCCUCGAAAUCCUAAGCAACUCAAGGACCCUUGGAGAGAGUUGGGGAUUUCCCAGAUUUCAUAUUUGAUUUUUAUCAAAUAUUGAAACAAGGAAUUUUGAUUUUAAUUAUUUUUCUCUUUGAAAAUAUUUCAUAUUAAAAUAUAUGAGAGGAGAUAAUAUGACUUCUCCAAAAUAAUGUAAAUAGUGGAGGAAAAAUAUUAAAAUCAAAUAUUUGAUUUUAUUUGGAUUUUAUUUGCAUUAGAAAAAUUGCACCUUUUUAAAAUUGCAUUUUAGGGCCAAGAAAAUGUUCAUCUCGUUCUAAAUAUUUUAUUUAGACGGAGAAAAUUUGUUUUGCCAUUUUUAGAUUUUUAUUUUAUUUUCUAGGAUUUUUCUUAGUUUUGGCAAAAAUAUUUAAAAAAAAGGUUUCCGGACCCAGCUGGGCCGAAGCCCAACCGGCCCGGCCCGGCCGUCUACCUCGCGCGCGCGCCGCCGUGCGUAGCUCGGACGCCGAGGGGAGUCCGAGACGGACUCCUCCCCGGGCGCCCCCUCGCCCAAGCAAGUCGCCGCCCCCGCCCCCUUUAAUGGCCGCCGCCGAGCCCCGCCACCACCACCACCCCGCCGCCCCGNNNNNNNNNNNNNNNNNNNNNNNNNNNNNNNNNNNNNNNNNNNNNNNNNNNNNNNNNNNNNNNNNNNNNNNNNNNNNNNNNNNNNNNNNNNNNNNNNNNNNNNNNNNNNNNNNNNNNNNNNNNNNNNNNNNNNNNNNNNNNNNNNNNNNNNNNNNNNNNNNNNNNNNNNNNNNNNNNNNNNNNNNNNNNNNNNNNNNNNNNNNNNNNNNNNNNNNNNNNNNNNNNNNNNNNNNNNNNNNNNNNNNNNNNNNNNNNNNNNNNNNNNNNNNNNNNNNNNNNNNNNNNNNNNNNNNNNNNNNNNNNNNNNNNNNNNNNNNNNNNNNNNNNNNNNNNNNNNNNNNNNNNNNNNNNNNNNNNNNNNNNNNNNNNNNNNNNNNNNNNNNNNNNNNNNNNNNNNNNNNNNNNNNNNNNNNNNNNNNNNNNNNNNNNNNNNNNNNNNNNNNNNNNNNNNNNNNNNNNNNNNNNNNNNNNNNNNNNNNNNNNNNNNNNNNNNNNNNNNNNNNNNNNNNNNNNNNNNNNNNNNNNNNNNNNNNNNNNNNNNNNNNNNNNNNNNNNNNNNNNNNNNNNNNNNNNNNNNNNNNNNNNNNNNNNNNNNNNNNNNNNNNNNNNNNNNNNNNNNNNNNNNNNNNNNNNNNNNNNNNNNNNNNNNNNNNCCCGCCUCGCCGGAGCCGGAGCCACGCCGGAGGUACCUCGCCGUCGUUCGGUUUUCUAAAAAAAACCAAUCUAUUUUUUUAGAAAACCCCUAGCCUGUUUUUUUCGGUUCGCCGGUUUUUUCCCGGUUUUUCUUUUUCACGGACAUUUGUCCGGACGUUUGUUUUAACGAACGGUUUUUGCCCGUUAGUUACAGACAACGAACGCUCGUUCGUUAGCCUGUUCGUCAGUUUCCUUUUAUCGGAUUAUUCCGCGAUUAUUUCUAAUCGCGAUUUCUGAUUCGAUUUUUGUUCUAGUUUAUCUUUUCGCUCAUUAAUCAGAAUCAGGCGAUUCAAGCACCUAGAUCUUCAUCUCAAGACCUUCUUUCCGCUUAAUCAACUUGCACGAGUUUUUGCUACCGUAAAAUUUGACCUAGGUCCAGAUUAGUAAACGGAUCUUGUUUCUUUCGUCGUUUGAGUUUCAUUGCUCCGUUUGAUUUGAUUUUUUUUGCAAACCGGAGUUCUUAAGUUGAACUUUCUGGUUAGAUCUUCUUCUUUGAGAUUUACCCAUGUUUCUUAGCUUGAUUUCUUAUGUAACUUAUUGUUUGUUUAUGAUAGAAUUCCCGGAGUGCGAAGUGUGUUAUUUGGAGUCUCUAGGUUACGCGGAUCGUCAGCCAGGCAAGUAAAACUUUGAUCAUAUCCCUUUAUCACCCAGUUUUUAUGCAUUAGUUCCAAUCCUCAAACAUUUCAUGGUUAGGAUGUCAUUAACAUGUGGGUUGGGAAGUAGCUGAUGAGGUAGAACAUAUUACCCUGUUACAUUCAAACCCCUGGGAGUUACUUCUACGCGUUGCUUAUAUUGCUAUGCUAUGCUCGUAGACGUGGUUUGGGUGAGUGGAAUCCAUGACAGAUGUGAGAUUGUUAAUUAAUGGUUCAACUUAAGGUGGCAACUUAAAUACACAUCUGGGUGGAUUGAGGCACCUGGAGUACCCAGUGCUGCCUGUAUUUUUGGAAACCCCGGAGUACCUGUGUGAUCUUCCUAUGGACCGCCACCCAGGCUCAAAGGGAGCUGAGAUUAUUCAUGCUAGAAACUUAUGUGUGCAGCCACACGCUAUUAUUGGCUCUAGCAUAGUUGAGUAAGUUACGUGAAGCUCUUGAAGAGGUGGAUCAGCAGGUAGUGGGUUUGUAGGUUUGGUAUGGUCUGCCCGGAGUAGAGAGUUAAUGUUCUGAAAGACUGUGUCUCGGUAAUCCGUUUCUCAAACACCCUGUAGUGAGAGAAAACCAAUGGAGGAGAUCGAGUCUUGUGGGGAAAAGUGCGCAAACCUCUGCAGAGUGUAUAAACUAAUCAUGGUUAGCCAUGUCCCGGUUAUGGACAAUCUUGAAUAUCUAGUACUUGGAGUAUCUUAAGUAUCUCAUCACCCUAAAAAUAAUAUUGUUGGGUUGUUAAUCACCUUAAUUGGGAUUGAGUUGGAGGAACCUUCUCAAUGAUGUUUCAACUACCAUGAUAGUUAAGUUAAACUCUAUUCCUUUGUCAUAGGGAAAAAUUGGCUUUUCGCAAAACUAUAACCAUAGAGCUUUCCACCAGCCAAAUAUGCAUGUAGUGAUAGCAUUAUUCCGUUCCUGCUCUACUGUGUUAUUUUGCUAGCAUAUUCCAUGUGUUGACCCGUUUUCGGGCUACAACGUAUGAUGUUGCAGACUUUUCAGACGAGGAGUAAGGUUCGUUAGGUCGUUGCCGUGCAGCUCAGCUAUGCCGUUGGAGUUGAUGGACUCACUUUAUCUUCCAAGCCUUCCGCUAUUAUCGUUUUAGAUGGCCUUAAGCCAUAUUUAUUGUAAUAAGUUCUCUUUGGAGACAUUCGAUGUAAUAAGUGUGUGAUUGCAACUCUGUUAUAAAUCCUCGAGUACUGUGUGUGUCAGCAUUACCGAUCCAGGGAUGACACUGAAGCACAGAGACUUGACCGUUUGAGGUCGGGUCGCUACAAGAUGGUAUCAGAGCACACGCUGAUUGUAGGACACGACCACUAAGCUAAAGCCAUAGAUCACUAUUCUCUUCUCACUUCUGACUCCUCUCCAUUUUCUACUCUUUAGGAUGGCGGACGCAAGGAACAAGUUUGCACAACCGGAUGAAGAAGCACCUUUUGGACGACACCUGAAGGAAGUCACUAGGUACCCGAACAUAGGAAUACCAAGCUUCACCGGGACCUACAACGCCACUUUGCCGGAAGAGGAGCGAUGGAUGAUUCAAGUUCAAGUUCCAAGAAGGACCUUCAUGCCAGUCACUAAACCUAUAGAGUUUUCCUUCGACGCACCAACCUGUAGUUUAGGAAAGAGUAUGGCAACUCACAUCACCAUGGGACGCAUUGGAGAAGUAUAUCACAAGGAUCUUAAGGACACUAUCUACCAGAUAUGUGGGCGCCGAGACGAGCAAUGGGAGAUGAUCAGUACCAAGAAGGAUAGAUCAAUUGCAGCUUUCAUCUAGGAGUUAAACCAGCACAUUCGACGUCAGGAGAAUCAGAUGUGCUCCGACGUGAUAGAUUUGAAGAAGGUGAAGACAAGGAUCAUCGAUCUGGAAGAAGAACUUAAGUCUACAAGCGAUGGAUAUGAGGAGGAAAUUGCGACACUACUGGAGAAGAAUGAUGACCUGAUUAAGAACAUCAGAAUAUUUAUGGGAGACCCCACACCAGUAUAAGAAGAUGAAGAACCCAAGGAGAUUCGCCCAGAGGACUACAUCAUCAUCGACGACACCGACUCCGACCUUAGCGAUGAUGACUUUGAAGACGAAGUUCGAGCAGAUAUCAUGGACUCUUCAACUGAGCAAUAUUUUUAGUAGACCACCAUAUCAGUAGUAGUAUUCCACCAUGUAAAUAAAGUAGUCCGAGCACUUUUGCGAUAGUUAGAUCGAUUGUAUGCCUUGAUUGAUUGAUUGAGUGAAAUGUUUGUGUUUGUCUCAUGUGCAUAUGGGUAGUGCUUUCUCAUUAACCUAGAGCCCAGUGCCAGUUUCUGUUUUUUUUCUUGUUUUAGAGUAUCGCAGAAAAGGAAAAUCAAACGGAGUCCAAUUGACCUGAAACUUCACGGAACUUAUUUUGGAAGGAAAGCAAACUGGGAGACUUGGAGUCCAUGUAAGGGAAGCAACGAGGAAGCCACGAGGCUGGGGGUGCGCCCACCGCCCCUGGGCGCGCCCUCCACCCUCAUGGGCCCCUCAUGGCUCCCCUGACGUACUUCUUCUGCCUAUAUAUCUCCAUAUACCCUAAAAACAUCUGGGAGCGCAAUAGAUCGGGAGUUCCGCCACCAGAAGCCUCCGUAGCCACUGAAAGCCGAUCUAGACCCGUUCCGGUGCCCUGCCGGAGGGGGAAUCCCUCUCCGGUGGCCAUAUUCAUCAUCCCGGUGCUCUCCAUGACGAGGAGGGAGUAGUUCUCCAUCGGGGCUGAGGGUAUGUACCAGUAGCUAUGUGUUUGAUCUCUCUCUCUCUCGUGUUCUUGAUUUGGCACGAUCUUGAUGGAUCGUGAGCUUUGCUAUUAUAGUUGGAUCUUAUGAUGUUUCUCCCCCUCUACUCUCUUGUAAUGGAUUGAGUUUCCCCUUUGAAGUUAUCUUAUCGGAUUGAGUCUUUAAAGAUUUGAGAACACUUGAUGUAUGUCUUGUCAUGCGUAUCUAUGGUAACAAUGGGAUAUCACGUGAUUCACUUGAUGUAUGUUUUGGUGAUCAACUUGCGGGUUCCGCCCAUGAACCUAUGCAUAGGGGUUGGCACACAUUUUUGUUGUGAUUCUCCGGAAGAAACUUAGGGGCACUCUUUGAGGUUCUAUGUGUUGGUUGAAUAGAUGAAUCUGAGAUUGUGUGAUGCAUAUCGUAUAAUCAUACCCACGGAUACUUGAGGUGACAUUGGAGUAUCUAGGUGACAUUAGGGUUUUGGUUGAUUUGUGUCUUAAGGUGUUAUUCUAGUACGAACUCUAGGGCUGUUUGUGACACUUAUAGGAAUAGCCCAAUGGAUUGAUUGGAAAGAAUAACUUUGAGGUGGUUUCAUACCCUACCAUAAUCUCUUCGUUCGUUCUCCGCUAUUAGUGACUUUGGAGUGACUCUUUGUUGCAUGUUGAGGGAUAGUUAUGUGAUCCAAUUAUGUUAUUAUUGUUGAGGUAACUUGCACUAGCGAAAGUAUGAACCCUAGGCCUUAUUUCCUAGCAUUGCAAUACCGUUUACACUCACUUUUACCAUUAGUUACCUUGCUGUUUUUAUAUUUUCAGAUUACAAAAACUAUUAUCUACUAUCCAUAUACCACUUGUAUCACCAUCUCUUCGCCAAACUAGUGCACCUAUACAAUUUACCAUUGUAUUGGGUGUGUUGGGGACACAAGAGACUCUUUGUUAUUUGGUUGCAGGGUUGCUUGAGAGAGACCAUCUUCAUCCUACGCCUCCUACGGAUUGAUAAACCUUAGGUCAUCCAAUUGAGGGAAAUUUGCUACUGUCCUACAAACCUCUGCACUUGGAGGCGCAACAACGUCUACAAGAAGAAGGUUGUGUAGUAGACAUCAAGCCCUUUUCUGGCGCCAUUGCCGGGGAGGUGAGUGCUUGAAGGUAUAUCUUUAGAUCUUGCAAUCGAAUCUUUUUGUUUCUUGUUUUAGCACUAGUUUAGUUUAUAAAAGAAAAUUACAAAAAAAAUGGAAUUGAGUUUGUCUCAUACGCUUCAUCUUUUUAAUAUCUUUCUUGAGUAUCAUGGAAAGGAAAAUUGUUCCGAAGUGUUAGAAGAAUAAUGCAUUAAAAUGUUUGGCACUAAAUAUUUGAAUGAUGAGCAUGAUUGCAAUGUUGUUAGUAUGAAUUCCUUGAAUAUUCAUGAUGCUAAUGAUAUGCAAAGCCACAAGCUUGGGGAAGCUAUAUUUGAUGAAGAUGAUAUUUUUUUGUCCCCCAUGUUUUGAUGAGCAAAUUUAUUAUGAUGAAAUGAUGCCUCCUAUUUAUGAUGAUUAUAUUGAUGAAAGUGGAUUUGGAUAGGUCAUAACUUUAUUUUGUGAUGAAUCCACUAUCCCGGAAGAGAUUCCAAUUGAUUAUGAGAACAAAGUUGCUAUCUAUGAUGAUUAUUGUGAUGACUUGUAUGCUAUAAAGAAUAAUGAUAUCCAUGAAACUUGUCAUCAUGAUUUUAGUUUUCAAUUGGAUUAUGCCUCACAUGAUAGUUAUUUUGUUGAGUUUGCUCCCACUAUUAUUCAUGAGAAGAAUUUUGCUUAUGUGGAGAGUAGUAAAUUUUCUAUGCUUGUAGAUCAUGAAAAGAAUGCUUUAUGUGAUAGUUAUAUUGUUGAAUUCAUUCAUGAUGCUACUAAAAAAUAUAAUGAGGGAGGAAUAUAUGCUUGUAGGAAUUGCAAUAAUAUCAAGUUUCCUCUCUAACUGGUUAAAGUUUUGAAGUUAUGCUUGUUUUACCUUCCUAUGCAAGUUGAUUCUUGUUCCCACAAGUUGUUUGCUCACAAAACCCCUAUGCAUAGGAAGUGGGUUAGACUUAAAUGUGCUAGUCAUAUUAUUCAAGAUGCUAUCUUUAUGUUUCAAUUCUUAUCUUUUAUGUGAGCAUCAUUGAAAUCAUCAUGCCUAGCUAGGGGCGUUAAACGAUAGCGCUUGUUGGGAGGCAACCCAACUUUAUUUCUAUUCCUUGCUUUUUGUUCCUGUUUAGUAAUAAAUAAUUCAUCUAGCCUCUGUUUAUAUGUGGUUUUAUGCUUUUAAUUAGUGUUUGUGCCAAGUAGAACCGUUGGGAAGACUUGGGGAAUGUCUUGUUGAUCUUGCUGUAAAAAACAGAAAAUUUAGCGCUCACGAGAUUUGCUGCAAUUUUUUACUGGAGAUUGCUAUUUAGUUAAUUAUUUUUGAAGAUGAUUAAUAGACAAAUUACUCACGUCCAGAAAUUUAUUUGAGAAUUUUAUGAGUUCCAGAAGUAUACGUUUGAUCCAGAUUACUACAGACUGUUCUGUUUUUGACAGAUUCUGUUUUCAUUGUGUUGUUUACUUAUUUUGAUGAAUCUAUGGCUAGUAAAAUAAUUUAUAAACCAUAGAGAAGUUGGAAUACAGUAGGUUUAACACCAAUAUAAAUAAAUAAUGAGUUCAUUACAGUAACUUGAAGUGGUGUUUUGUUUUCUUUCGCUAACGGAGCUUACGAGUUUUCUGUUAAGUUUUGUGUUGUGAAGUUUUCAAGUUUUGGGUAAAGAUUCGAUGGACAAUGGAAUAAGGAGUGGCAAUAGCCUAAGAUUGGGGCUGCCCAAGGAACCCCAAGGUAAUAUUCAAGGACAACCAAAAGCCUAAGCUUGGGGAUGCCCCGGAAGGCAUCCCCUCUUUCGUCUUUGUUCAUCGGUAGCUUUACUUGGAGCUAUAUUUUUAUUCGCCACAUGAUAUGUGUUUUGCUUGGAGCGUAAUUUUAUUUUCUUUUUCUUUGCUUGCUGUUUGAAUAAAAUACCAAGAUCUGAAAUUAUUAAAUGCUAGAGAGUCUUCUCAUAGUUGCAUAAUUAUUCAACUACUCAUUGAUCUUCACUUAUAUCUUUCGGAGUAGUUUGUUGUUUGCUCUAGUACUUCACUUAUAUAUUUUAGAGCACGGUGGUGGUUUUAUUUUGUGGAAAUAGAUGAACUCUCAUGCUUCACUUAUAUUAUUUUGAGAGUCUUUAGAACAGCAUGGUAGUUUGCUUUGGUUAUGAAACAAGUCCUAAUAUGAUGGGCAUCCAAGAGGGAUAUAAUAAAAAAUUUCAUAUAAGUGCAUUGAAUACUAAGAGAAGUUUGAUACUUGAUGAUUGUUUUGAGAUAUGGAGGUAAUAAUAUCAAAGUCGUGCUAGUUGAGUAGUUGUGAAUUUGUGGAAUACUUGUGUUGAAAUUUGCAAGUCCCGUAGCAUGCACGUAUGGUAAACCUUGUGUAACAAAUUUGAAACAUGAGGUGUAAUUUGAUUGUCUUCCUUAUGAGUGGCGGUCGGGGACAAGCGAUGGUCUUUUCCUACCAAUCUAUCCCCCUAGGAGCAUGCGCAUAGUGCCGAGGUUUUUGAUGACUUGUAGAUUUUUGCAAUAAGUAUGUGAGUUCUUUAUGACUAAUGUUGAGUCCAUGGAUUAUACGCACUCUCACCCUUCCAUCAUUGCUAGCCUCUUCGGUACUGUGCAUUGCCCUUUCUCACAUUGAGAGUUGGUGCAAACUUCGCCGGUGCAUCCAAACCCCGUGAUAUGAUACGCUCUGUCACACAUAAACCUCCUUAUAUCUUCCUCAAAACAGCCACCAUACCUACCUAUUAUGGCAUUUCCAUAGCCAUUCCGAGAUAUAUUGCCAUGCAACUUUCCACCGUUCCGUUUAUUAUGACACGCAUCAUCAUUUCCAUAUUGCUUAGCAUGAUCAUGUACUUGACAUAGUAUUUGUGGCAAAGCCACCGUUCAUAAUUAUUUGAUACAUGUCACUCUUGGUUCAUUGCAUAUCUCGGUACACCGCCGGAGGCAUUCAUAUAGAGUCAUACUUUGUUCUAGUAUUGAGUUGUAAUCAUUGAGUUGUAAAUAAACAGAAGUGUGAUGAUCAUCAUUUUCUAGAGCAUUGUCCCAAGUGAGGAAUAAUAAUAAAAAUAGAGAAAAGCCAUAAAAAAGAGAAGGCCCAAAAAAAUAGAAAGGCCAUAAAAAAGAGAAGGCCCAAAAAAGAGAGAAGGGACAAUGCUACUAUCCUUUGCCACACCUGUGCUUCAAAGUAGCACCAUAAUCCUCAUGAUAGAGAGUCUCUUGUUUUGUCACUUCCAUACACUAGUGGGAAUUUUUCAUUAUAGAACUUGGCUUGUAUAUUCCAACAAUGGGCCUCCUCAAGUGCCCUAGGUCUUCAUGAGCAAGCAAGUUGGAUGCACGCCUACUUAGUUUCUUUUGUUGAGCUUUCAUACAUUUAUAGCUCUAGUCCAUCUGUUGCAUGGCAAUCCCUACUCCUUGCAUUGACAUCAAUUGAUGGGCAUCUCCCUAGCCCAUUGAUUAGCCGCGUCGAUGUGAGACUUUCUCCUUUUUGUCUUCUCCACAUAACCCCCUCAUUUUAUUCUAUUCCACCCAUAGUGCAAUAUCCAUGGCUCACGCUCAUGUAUUGCAUGAAGGUUUAUAGGUUUGAGAUUACUAAAGUAUGAAAAAAUUGCUUGGCUUAUCAUCGGGGUUGUGCAUGAUGAGAGCAUUCUUGUGUGACGAAAAUGGAGCAUGACUAAACUAUAUGAUUUUGUAGGGAUGAACUUUCUUUGGCCAUGUUAUUUCGAGAAGACAUGAUUGCUUAGUUAGUAUGCUUGAAGUAGUAUUGUUUCUAUGUCAAUAUUAAACUUUUGUCUUGAAUCUUAUGGAUCUGAACAUUUAUGCCAAAAUAAAGAAGAAUUACUUAGAUAAAUAUGAUAGGUAGCAUUCCACAUCAAAAAUUCUGUUUUUAUCAUUUACCUACUCGAGGACGAGCAGGAAUUAAGCUUGGGGAUGCUUGAUACGUCUCCAAUGUAUCUAUAAUUUUUGAUUGUUCCAUGCUAUUAUAUUAUCAACCUUGGAUGUUUUAUAUGCAUUUAUAUGCUAUUUUAUAUGAUUUUUGGGACUAACCUAUUAAUCUUGAGCCCAAUGCCAGUUUCUAUUUUUUUCCUUGUUUUAGAGUAUCGCAGAAAUGGAAAAUGAAACGGAGUCCAAUUGACCUGAAACUUCACGGAACUUAUUUUUGGAAGGAAAGCAACCCGGGAGACUUGGAGUCCACGUAAGGGAAGCAACGAGGAAGCCACAAGGAAGGGGGUGCGCCCACCCCCCCUGGGCGCGCCCUCCACCCUCGUGGCUCCCUUGACAUACUUCUUCCGCCUAUAUAUCUCCAUAUACCCUAAAAACAUCCGGGAGCACAAUAGAUCGGGUGUUCCGCCGCCAGAAGCCUCCGUAGCCACCAAAAGCCAAUCUAGACCCGUUCCGGCACCCUGCCAGAGGGGGAAUCCCUCUCCGGUGGCUAUCUUCAUCAUCCCGGUGCUCUCCAUGACGAGGAGGGAGUAGUUCGCCCUCGGGGCUGAGGGUAUGUACCAGUAGCUAUGUGUUUGAUCUUUCUCUCCCUCUCGUGUUCUUGAGGUGGUAUGAUCUUGAUGUAUCACGAGCUUUGCUAUUAUAUUUGGAUCCUAUGAUGUUUCUUCCCCCCUCUACUCUCUUGUAAUGGAUUGAGUUUCCCCUUUGAGGUUAUCCUAUCGGAUUGAGUCUUUAAAGAUUUGAGAACACUUGAUGUAUGUCUUACUCUGCGUAUCUGUGGUGACAAUGGGAUAUCACGUGAUUCACUUGAUGUAUGCUUUGGUGAUCAACUUGCGGGUUCUGCCCAUGAACCUAUGCAUAGGGGUUGGCACACGUUUUGGUCGUGAUUCUCCGGUAGAAACUUUGGGGCACUCUUUGAGGUUCUAUGUGUUGGUUGAAUAGAUGAAUCUGAGAUUGUGUGAUGCAUAUCGUAUAAUCAUACCCACGGAUACUUGAGGUGACAUUGGAGUAUCUAGGUGACAUUAGGGUUUUGGUUGAUUUGUGUCUUAAGGUGUUAUUCUAGUACGAACUCUAGGGCUGUUUGUGACACUUAUAGGAAUAGCCCAAUGGAUUGAUUGGAAAGAAUAACUUUGAGGUGGUUCGUACCCUACCAUAAUCUCUUCGUUUGUUCUCCGCUAUUAGUGACUUUGGAGUGACUCUUUGUUGCAUGUUGAGGGAUAGUUAUAUGAUCUAAUUAUGUUAUUAUUGUUGAGGGAACUUGCACUAGUGAAAGUAUGAACCCUAGGCCUUGUUUCAACGCAUUGCAAUCAAGGUUGGAAAAAGCGGUAGGCGUAAGCGGGGUGGUUGUCCUUCGCCUAGUGGCUAGGCGAUGCCUAAGCGCCAUAGGCGCGGCCUAGGCGGUAAUAUGGUUUUUACUCGAAGUGUACUUGUGAUUAUUAUAUGGGUGUUGAUAUUAAUUUAGGGCAUAUAAAUAAGUUAAUUGCCGGCUACUAACGUUGUAAUAUAACCUAUUUGGCAUAUGAGUGCAAUAUGUGGCAUGAUUUCUUGCUUGGGUAGGCACUUCCUUGCUUUCCCUGCCUAGACCUCCAUUUAUGCCCUAGGCGAGGCGUUUGGCCAUUGCCUAGCGCCUAGGCAUGCCUAAGCGGCUCCUAGGCACUGCCUUUUCCAACAGAGAUUGCAAUACCGUUUACGCUCACUUUUAUCAUUAGUUACCUUGGUGUUUUUAUAUUUUUCAGAUUACAAAUACCUUUAUCUACCAUACAUAUUCCACUUGUAUCACCAUCUCUUCGCCGAACUAGUGCACCUAUAAAAUUUACCAUUGUAUUGGGUGUGUUGGGGACACAAGAGACUCUUUGUUAUUUGGUUGUAGGGUUGCUUGAGAGAGACCAUCUUCAUCCUACACCUCCUACGGAUUGAUAAACCUUAGGUCAUCCACUUGAGGGAAAUUUGCUACUGUCCUACAAACCUCUGCACUUGGAGGCCCAACAACGUCUACAAGAAGAAGGUUGUGUAGUAGACAUCAAAUAACUCGAUGCAUCUUGUAAUAACAAGAGCAGCUGGGAAUGAAAGUAAGAAGGUUAGGUGUAAGUAUUUAUCCAUAGGGAUGUAUCGGUGGUAGGGGAUUGUAAAAGCAACGGGCACAAGGUCUCGAGAGAACAUCAGAGAGUAUCUUCGAAAUCUUCUAAUGCAGCAGGCGAUCCUCUGUAAUAGGGGGCUCUCCGGGGGGAUGCGAUCACGAGAUCCUAAUGUCAGAGUUAGCAAGUUCAUUUAACCCAAAUAGUAGAGAGAUCAGAGUCCUAGAGUAUAGGUCGAGGAAUAAAAGAUUCUAAUACCACCCAAAUGGCGACGUGGGCCCGUAAGCCACACAGCCAUGUUAGUUAAAGUUUUGUAAUGAAUAGACUCAACUUUGGCCAAGGGAUGUGGAAGGGGGAUUCCUACAGGCAGUCGGCUCUGAUACGAACUUGUGACUCCCCCGAUUCAAUCAUACACUAAUCAUACACGCAAACGUGUACGAUCGAGAUCAGGGACUCGCGGGAAGAUAUCACAACACAACUCUACAAACAAAAUAAGUCAUACAAGCAUCAUAUUACAAGCCAGGGGCCUCGAGGGCUCGCAUACAAGAGCUCGAUCAUAGACGAGUCAGCGGAAGCAACAAUAUCUGAGUACAGACAUAAGUUAAACAAGUUUUCCUUAAGAAGGCUAGCACAAACUGGGAUACAAAUAGAAAGAGGCGCAGGCCUCCUGCCUGGGAUCCUCCUAAACAACUCCUGGUCGUCGGCGACGGCCGACACGUAGUAGUAGGCACCUCCAGUGUAGUAGGAGUCAUCGUCGACAGUGGCGUCUGGCUCCUAGACUCCAUCUUCUAGUUGCAACAAGCGGGUAUAGAAAGGGGAAAAAAGGGGAGCAAAGCAACCAUGAGUACUCAUCCAAAGUACUCGCAAGCAAGGAGCUACACUACAUAUGCAUGCAUUGGUAUCAAAUGGAAAAGGGGUAGCAUAUGUGGACUGAACUGCAGAAUGCCGGUAUAAGAGGGGGAUAGCUAGUCCUAUCUAAGACUACGCUUCUGGUAACCUCCAUCUUGCAGCAGAAGAAGAGAGUAGAUGGUAAGUUAACUAACUAUCAUCGCAUAGCAUAAUCCUACCCGGUGAUCCUCCCCUCGUCGCCCUGUGAGAGAGCGAUCAUCGGUUGUAUCUGGCACUUGGAAGGGUGUGUUUUAUUAAGUAUCCGAUUCUAGUUGUCAUAAGGUCAAGGUACAACUCCGGGUCGUCCUGUUACCGAAGAUCACGGCUAUUCGAAUAGAUUAACUUCCCUGCAGGGGUGCACCACAUUUCCCAACAUGCUCGAUCCCCUUUGUCCGGACACACUUUUCUGGGUCAUGCCCGGCCUCGGAAGAUCAACACGUCGCAGCCCUACCUAGGCACAACAGAGAGGUCAGCACGCCGGUCUAAAUCCUAUGGCGUAGGGGUCUGGCCCAUCGCCCAUUGCACACCUGCACGUUGCGUACGCGGCCGGCGAGCAGACCUAGCCUCCCUUAUACAAGAGCAGGCAUUCCAGUCCAACCCGGUGCGCGCCGCUCAGUCGCUGACAUCACGAAGGCUUCAGCUGAUACCACGACGUCGAGUGCCCAUAAUUGUUCCCGCAUAGUUGGUUAGUGCGUAUAGGCCAGUGGCCAGACUCAGAUCAAAUACCUAGAUCUUGUUUAGCGUGUUAUUUUGAAAUAACCGCAGACGCCGACCAUGGCCAGGCCCACCUCUCUCCUAGGUGGUCUCAACCUACCCUGUCACUCCGCCACAAAGAUCCACUCAGAGGGUUGUCGGGACAAACGUCCUUUCGGACCCAAUCCAUGAAUCACUCGCGGGUACUCUACGAGCCAACCCGACUUUAGUCACAACAGGUAUCAUAUAAUAUGUAUAAGUAUAUACCCGUGAUCACCUCCCGAGUGAUCACGACCCGAUAGUAUAGCAUGGCAGACGGACAAGAAUGUAAGGCCACUAAUGGUAAACUAGCAUCCUAUACUAAGCAUUUCGGAUUGCAGGUAAGGUAUCAAUAAUUGUAGCAACAAUGAUAGGCUAUGCAUCAGGAUAGGAUUAACGAAAAGCAGUAACAUGCUACACUACUCUAAUGCAAGCAGUAGAGAGAAGAGUAGGCGAUAUCUGGUGAUCAAGGGGGGGGCUUGAUUACUAUCCGUCGUAUCUACUUUUCCAAACACUUUUGCCCUUGUUUUGGACUCUAACUUGCAUGAUUUGAAUGGAACUAACCCGGACUGGCGCUGUUUUCAGCAGAAUUACCAUGGUGUUAUUUAUGUGCAGAAACAAACGUUCUCGGAAUGACCUGAAACUUCACGGAGUAACUUUUUGGAAAAUAUAAAAAUUACCUGCAAAAGAUGAAGGCCAGGGGGCCCACCACCUGUCCAUGAGGGUGGGGGCGCGCCUACCCCCAGCGCGCCCCCCUACCUCAUGGGUCCCCUGGAGCUCCUCUGACUCCAACUCCAACUCUAUAUAUUGUGCUUCGGGGAGAAAAAAAUCAAAGAGAAGAAUUCAUUGCGUUUUACGAUACGGAGCCACCGCCAAGCCCUAAAACCUCUCGGGAGGGCUAAUUUGGAGUCCGUUCGGGGCUCCGGAGAGGGGAAUAAGUCGCCAUCGUCAUCAUCAACCAUCUUCCAUCACCAAUUUCAUGAUGCUCACCGCCGUGCGUGAGUAAUUCCAUCGUAGGCUUGCUAGACGGUGAUGGGUUGGAUGAGAUCUAUCAUGUAAUCGAGUUAGUUUUGUUAGGGUUUGAUCCCUAGUAUCCACUAUGUUCUGAGAUUGAUGUUGCUAUGACUUUUCUAUGCUUAAUGCUUGUCACUAGGGGCCGAGUGCCAUGAUUUCAGAUCUGAACCUAUUAUGUUUUCAUCAAUAUAUGAGAGUUCUUGAUCCUAUCUUGCAAGUCUAUAGUCACCUAUUAUGUGUUAUGAUCCGUUAACCCCGAAGUGACAAUAAUCGGGAUACUUACCGGUGAUGACCAUAGUUUGAGGAGUUCAUGUAUUCACUAUGUGCUAAUGCUUUGUUCUGGUACUCUAUUAAAAGGAGGCCUUAAUAUCCCUUAGUUUCCAUUAGGACCCCGCUGCCACAUGAGGCUAGGACAAAAGAUGCCAUGCAAGUUCUUUUCCAUAAGCACGUAUGACUAUAUUCGGAAUGCAUUCCUACAUUACAUUGAUGAACUGGAGCUAGUUCUGUGUCACCCUAGGUUAUGAUUGUUACAUGAUGAACCGCAUCAGGCAUAAUUAUCUAUCACCGAUCCAUUGCCUACGAGCUUUCCAUAUAUUGUUCUUCGCUUAUUUACUUUUCUGUUGCUAUUGCUGUCAUAACUACAAAAUACCAAAAACAUUACUUUUGCUAUCAUUACCUUUUGCUACCGUUACCACUACUAUCAUAUUACUUUGCUACUAAACACUUCGUUGUAGAUAUUAAGUUUCCAGGUGUGGUUGAAUUGACAACUCAGCUGCUAAUACUUGAGAAUAUUCUUUGGCUCCCCUUGUGUCGAAUCAAUAAAUUUGGGUUGAAUACUCUACCCUCGAAAACUGUUGUGAUCCCCUAUACUUGUGGGUUAUCAAGACUAUUUUCUGGCGCCGUUGCCGGGGAGCAUAGCUCUAUUCCUUGAGUCACUUGGGAUUUAUAUCUGCUUAUCAUUAUGAAGAACUUGAAAGAUCCAAGAACCAAGAUUCAUCCCUCAACUACGAGGGGAGGUAAGGAACUGCCAUCUAGCUCUGCACUUGAUUCACCUUCUGUUUUAAGUAAGCUUGUGACACCUAAACCUGCUUUUGCUAUUCGUUCUGAUAUGUCGCAUGUUAUUGAUGAUGCCACUUCUGCUAUACAUGAUACUUAUGAUGAAACUACUUCUAUGCUUGAUACUAUUGUGCCACUUGGUGAAUUUCUUGAUGAACAACUUGCUAGGGCUAGAGAGAUUGAAAAUAUUGAAUCUAAUAAUACUGAUGAAAUUGAUGAUGAAGACUUGCCUGUUAUUCCUGAGGGUUAUGUUUUUGAUAAAGAAGCUUCUUUAGCUAUUUUAGCUUGCAAAGAUAGAUACGAACUCAAGAGGUUAUUAGCUAAAUGGAAUAAGCAAUCUCUAAAUGCUAGAAUGAAACCUGACCCUGCUUUUGCUACUUCACCUAUCUGUGUUACCGAUAAGGAUUAUGAAUUCUCUGUUGAUCCUGAUAUAAUUACUUUGGUUGAAUCUGAUCCUUUUCAUGGCUAUGAAUCUGAAACUAUUGUGGCACAUCUUACUAAAUUAAAUGAUAUAGCCACCCUGUUCACAACUGAUGAGAGAACUCAUUACUUUUAUAUCCUUAAAAUAUUUCCGUUCUCAUUAAGGGUGUCGCUAAGAUAUGGUUUAAUUCUCUUGAUCCUAGUUGUGUGCGUAGUCCCCGGGAUAUGAUUUAUUACUUCUCUGCUAAAUAUUUCCCUGCUCAUAAGAAACAAGCUGCUUGAAGGGAUAUAUAUAAUUUUGCGCAAAUUGAAGAAGAGAGUCUCCCACAAGCUUGGGGGAGGCUUCUCCAAUUACUUAAUGCUUUGCCUGAUCAUCCUCUUAAGAAAAAUGAAAUAAUUGAUAUCUUUUAUAAUGGACUAACCGAUGCCUCCAGAGAUUACCUGGAUAGUUGUGUUGGUUCUGUUUUCAGGGAAAGAACACCGAAUGAAGGUGAAAUUCUAUUGAAUAAUAUGUUGACAAAUGAAAAUAAUUGGACACCUUCAGAGCCAAUUCCUGAGCCUAUUCCUAAACCAACUCCGAAGAAGAGGGGUAUUCUAUUUCUCAGUCCUGAAGAUAUGCAAGAGGCAAAGAAAUCUAUGAAAGUAAAAGGUAUUAAAGAUGAAGAUGUUAAGAAUUUACCUCCUAUUGAAGAAAUACAUGGUCUUAAUUUACCGCCUCUUGAAGAAACAUAUGAUCUUAAUCCAUUACCUAUUGAAGAAACUUAUGGUCUUGAUAACCCGACACAGGUAGUAAAGGUAAAUUCUCUCUAUAGAUAUGAUAAAGCUGAAAUCCCAUUUACUAAGUUUGCUAGCCCAUGCUUAGAUGAGUUUGAUAAAUUUAUGGUUAAACAAGAAGAUUUUAAUGCUUAUUUUGGUAGACAAUUGAAAUACAAUUCAAAUAUGCUUGAACACUUGGGUGAUUAUAUGGCUAAUGGCAAAGGUGAACUUAAACUUAUUAGUAAACAUGCUUCUAUGGUUACCACUCAAGUAGAAGAAGUACUCAAAGCUCAAAAUGAUUUGCUCAAUGAAUUGAAUAGUAAAGAUAAUGAUAAUGCUGUUAGAGUUAUGACUAGAGGUGGUAAAAUGACUCAGGAACCUUUGUAUCCUGAAGGCCACCCUAAGAGAAUUGAGCAAGAUUCUCAGAGAAAUAAUAUAGAUGCACCUAGUCCUUCUAAAAGGAAGAAAAAGAAAAAUGAUAGGACUUUGCAUGCUUCUAGUGAACCUGUUAUUGAAACACUUGAGAAUCCAAAUGAUAUUUUUAUUCCUGAUGCUGAAACUCAAUCUGGUAAUGAACCUGAAACUAGUAAUAAGGUUAAUGAUAAUGUUCAUGAUGAUGCUCAACCUAGUAAUGAUAACGAUAUAGAAAUUGAACUUGUUGUUGAUCUUGAUAACCCACAAUCAAAGAAUCAACGUUAUGAUAAGAAAGACUUUGUUGCUAGGAAACACGGUAAAGAAAGAGAACCAUGGGUUCAGAAACCCAUGCCUUUUCCUCCCAAACCAUCAAAGAAAAAGGAUGAUGAAGAUUUUGAGCGCUUUGCUGAAAUGAUUAGACCUAUCUUUUUGCGUAUGCGAUUAACUGAUAUGCUCAAAAUGAAUCCUUAUGCUAAGUAUAUGAAAGAUAUUGUUACAAAUAAAAGAAAGAUACCAGAAGCUGAAAUUUCCACCAUGCUUGCUAAUUAUACUUUUAAGGGUGGAAUACCAAAGAAACUAGGAGAUCCCGGUGUACCAACUAUACCAUGCUCCAUUAAAAGAAAUUAUGUUAAAACUGCUUUAUGUGAUCUUGGAGCCAGUGUUAGUGUUAUGCCUCUCUCUUUAUAUCGUAGACUUGAUUUGAAUAAGUUGACACCUACUGAAAUAUCUUUGCAGAUGGCUGAUAAAUCAACUGCUAUACCUGUCGGUAUUUGUGAGGAUGUGCCUGUUGUGGUUGCAAACGUUACUAUUUUAACGGACUUUGAUAUUCUUGAUAUUCCCAAGGACGAUAGUAUGUCUAUUAUUCUUGGAAGACCCUUUUUGAAUACUGCAGAGACUGUUAUUGAUUGCACUAAAGGCAAUGUCACUUUUCAUGUUAAUGGCAAUGAGCAUACGGUACACUUUCCGAGGAAACAACCUCAAGUUCAUAUUAUCAACUCUAUUGGAAAAAAUCCAACGAUUAUAUUUGGAGGUUUUGAAUUUCCUCCUCCUACUGUCAAGAAGAAAUAUGAUAUUCUUAUUAUUGGGGAUGUGCAUAUCCCCGUUGAGGUAACAUAGUGUUAUUCGAAAUUUCUUCGGUUCCAUGUUAUUCCUAAUGAGUUCGUUAACAAGACUUGAUCAACCUUGUUAUUGGAUUCCUUUUGAUGAGCAUGAGAUGAAUGAAACUAGAAGGCACAACCUUCUGUACCCUCCUUUUACUUUCUGUUAUUUAUAUUAAAUAAAAUUAAAAUAAAUAUUUUUCUGUUUGUUAUCUGAUUAUCCGUGCAAUAUAAAAAUACCCCGAAAAUAAAAGUUCUCCAAAUGCCCUGAAAUUUAAAUAUGAUUUUUUUUCUAGAAUAUUUGAGAAUAUUUGGCACUGAGAACACAACAGGGGGGUCAACCACCUGCCCACGAGGGUGGAGGGUGCACCCUACCCCACUGGGCGCCCCCCUACCUUGUGGGCCCACGGUGGCCCUCCUCCACUUAUCCUUUCACCCACACACUCCUUCUUCCUCCCCCAAACACGAAUAUCCAGCUCAAACCCGAGUCCAAGCUCAUUUUGUGUGACGCCCCAAUUUAAUCGUACACUAAUCAUACACGCAAACGUGUACGAUCAAGAUCAGGGACUCACGGGAAGAUAUCACAACACAACUCUACAAAUAAAAAUAAGUCAUACAAGCAUCAUAUUACAAGCCAGGGGCCUCGAGGGCUCGAAUACAAGAGCUCGAUCAUAGACGAGUCAGCGGAAGCAACAAUAUCUGAGUAUAGACAUAAGUUAAAACAAGUUUGCCUUAAGAAGGCUAGCACAAACUAGGAUACAAAUCGAAAGAGGCGCAGGCCUCCUGCCUGGGAUCCUCCUAAUCUACUCCUGGUCGUCGUCAGCGGGCUGCACGUAGUAGUAGGCACCUCCCGAGUAGUAGUAGUCGUCGUCGACGGUGGCGUCUGGCUCCUGGUCUCCAACGUCUGGUCGCAGCAAUCGGGUAUAGGAAGUGGGGAAAGGGGGAGUAAAGCAACCGUGAGUACUCAUCCAAAGUACUCGCAAGCAAGGAGCUACACUACAUAUGUAUGCAUUGGUAUCAAAUGGACUAAGGGUAUCAAAUGUGGACUAAACUGCAGAAUGCCAGAAUAAGAGGGGGAUAGCUAGUCCUUUCGAAGACUACGCUUCUGGUAACCUCCAUCUUGCAGCAGAAGAAGAGAGUAGAUGGUAAGUUCACCAAGUAGCAUCGCAUAGCAUAAUCCUAAUCGAUGAUCCUCCCCUCGUCGCCCUGUGAGAGAGCGAUCACCGGUUGUAUCUAGCACUUGGAAGGGUGUAUUUUAUUAAGUAUCCGGUUCUAGUUGACAUAAGGUCAAGGUACAACUCCAAGUCGUCCUGUUACCGAAGAUCACGGCUAUUCGAAUAGAUUAACUUCCCUGCAGGGGUGCACCAUAUAACCCAACACGCUCGAUCCCAUUUGGCCGGACACACUUUUCUAGGUCAUGCCCGGCCUCGGAAGAUCAACACGUCGCAGCCCUACCUAGGCACAACAGAGAGGUCAGCACGCCGGUCUAAAUCCUAUGGCGCACGGGUCUGGGCCCAUCGCCCAUUGCACAGCUGCACGUUGCGUACGCGGCCGGUGAGCAGACCUAGCCUCCCUUAUACAAGAGUAGGUGUUCCAGUCCAACCCGGCGCGCUCCGCUCAGUCGCUGACAUCACGAAGGCUUCGGCUGAUACCACGACUUCGAGUGCCCAUAACUGUCCCCUCGUAGAUGGUUAGUGCGUAUAGGCUAGUAGCCAGACUCGGAUCAAAUACCAAGAUCUAGUUAAGCGUGUUAUUUUGGAAUAACCGUGAACGUCGACCAGGGCCAGGCCCACCUCUCUCCUAGGUGGUCUCAACCUGCCAUGUUGCUCCACCUCAAAGUAAUAGUCGGGGGCCGUAGGGAACUCAGGCCCACCACUACCUGGAUGGAGCCACCUGCCCCUUCAGCCCCCAUCUCCAAACAGUAUCACUGGUAAUGUAAUAGUGAAAAGUAUAUAUUAUAUGCCCGUGAUCACCUCCCGAAGUGAUCACGGCCUACUAGUAUAGCAUGCCAGACGGACAAGAGUGUAGGGUCACUGAUGGAACACUAGCAGCCUAUACUAAGCAGUAGGAUAGCAGGUAAAGGUAAUAACAGUAGUAGCAAGGACAGGCUAUGCAGCAGUAUAGGAUUAACUGAAAGCAGUAAAAUGCUACACUACUCUAAUGCAAGCAGUGUAGAGGAGAGUAGGCGAUAUCUGGUGAUCAAGGGGGGGGGGCUUGCCUAGUUGCUCUGGCAAGAGAGAGGGGUCGUCAACCCCGUAGUCGUACUGGGUAGCAGCGGCGUCGGUCUCGGUGUCUAGCAGAAGAAGAGGGGGGGAAGAAACAAUGAAUACAAUGCAAACAGAUGCAUAACGAAGCAUGACAAGGCAAGGCGUGAUGUUAGGCGUGCCCUAACACGGUAUGAGGUGAUACCGGUGAAAGGGGGAAACAUCCGGGAAAGUAUCCCCGGUGUUUCGCGUUUUCGGGCAAAGGACCGGAGGGAAAAAGUUGCGAGUUCGAUAGGUUAGGGAUGUGUGGCGGACGAACGGGCUGCGUACUCGGGUUCGUCUCGUCGUUCUGAGUAACUUUCAUGUACAAAGUAUUUUCAUCCGAGUUACGGUUUAUUUUAUAUGAAUUUUCAACGAUUUAAACAAUUUCUGAAAUUAAAUUAAAUACGAAACAAAUAAAAAAACAGAACACUUUUGUCACCUGGUGCUACCCUAGUAUGUGAGUAUGACAGUGGGGCCAGUGGGGUUGGGUUGACCCAGUCAAAGGUUGACUAGUCAACAUAUGAAUAGUGUAAGUGGGUCCCGCGUGUCAUUGUCUUUAGUUUUAAUAAAAUGGUAAUUAACCAGGGGUGGUCCCACAUGUCAUUGUUUUAAUAAUUUCCAAAAGAUCUAUCUAAUCUAAUUAGAUGGGACCCACUUGUCAUUAGCUAAUAGGCUAAAUUAGCACUAAACUACUACUAAACUAAACCUAGACUAAUUAAACAAGGGCCGGCCAUUAACCCAGCCGGCCAUACGCAUGGCCAUGUACAGGGGGCUUGGCCAGGAGCUACAGCAGCAGAUGGUAGUAGUAGCAAGCGAACCGUAGCAGCUAAUAACAAGCAGUGGCAGUAGUAUCAGCAGCACGCGGCGGCAGUAGUACACAGCGGCAGCAGCAAAGCAUCAACAGAAACAAGUAGAGCAGCCUGGCGUCCAGCAGCAGCAGUGAACGCGUGCGGAGGCAGCGGCUCGCGAGCAGCAGUAGUUCAGCAGCGAGCAACGCAGGCGCGGCGAGGAGCUGGCAAGGGCGCGCGUGGGAGGUGGCAGGGGUGUGGCCCGCGCAAGGCGGGCUCGCGCGCACGCAGUGGCGCGAGGCCACGUUUGGGCAGUCGCUCGCGGGUGCGCGGCCAGGGCACGGUCGGACGGAGCUGCAGCCACAGCGGCAGAACGACGGCCGAACAGAGGGGAAACAAGAGGGAUGAGCUUUCCAUAUAUUGUUCUUCGCUUAUUUACUUUUCCGUUGCUAUUACUAUCAUAACUACAAAAUACCAAAAACAUUACUUUUGCUAUCAUUACCUUUUGCUACCGUUACCACUACUAUCAUAUCACUUUGCUACUAAACACUUUGCUGCAGAUAUUAAGUUUCCAGGUGUGGUUGAAUUGACAACUCAGCUGCUAAUACUUGAGAAUAUUAUUUGGCUCCCCUUGUGUCGAAUCAAUAAAUUUGGGUUAAAUACUCUACCCUCGAAAACUGUUGCGAUCCCUAUACUUGUGGGUUAUCAGGUUUGCAUGGUUGCUCUGGCAAAAAUGAGGAGUCGUCGGUGAUGUAGUCGGACUCAGUGGCAACAACACCGAUCUCAGGUCUACCGGAGAAGAAAAGAGGGGAAAGAAAUAGUAAAUAUGGAGCAAACGAAGCAUCACAACACAUAACAAGGCAAUACACGGUGCUAGGGGUGAUCUAACGCAGGGAUAGGUGAUACCGGCGAAGGAGGGAAAUAUCCGGAAAAGUAUUCCCGGUGUUUCGCGUUUUCGGAUAGAUGAACCGGAGGGGGAAAGUUGCGUGUUUGCUAUGCUAGGGGUGUGCGGCGGACGAACGGGCUACGUAUCCGGAUUCGUCUCGUCGUUCUAAGUAACUUUUAUGGACAAAGUAUUUUCAUCGGAGUUUCGGUUAAUUUUCUAUGAUUUUCCAAAGUUUUAAGUAUUUUUUGAAAUUUCUGAAUUUAUUAUAUUUAGUUAAUCCGAAUUGACCAAGUCAAUUUGACUAGUCAAAGGGCAUGUGUGGCCCACAUGUCAUAGGCUUAGAUAUUUUUAUCUAAUUUAUCUUUUAUCUAACCAUAUGGCCUAUACACUACACCUAACCACUAAUUAGCCUAACUACUACUAAUUAGCUACUAACCAGGGUUGGCCUCAUCCAGAGAUCUAGCCGGCCACACACACAUGGCCUCACACACACACGCUGCACCCACACACACGGCACACUACACAGGGCCGGCCAGAGGCACACAGCCGUGGCAUAGCCGGCCACACACACCACACACAUACAGCCCCCAUACACACCCAUAACACGCACGCACACUCACCACAUAGUACACUCGGCCAUGGCCGGCAUGCCAUGGCCAGUAGGCAGUAGCAGUCGCAGCCUGAGGUAGCAGGCUGCAGUAGCUCCAGCAACCAAGUAGCGCUAGCAGUGGUAUAAGGAAGGAGCAGCAGCAGCGACAACUAGCAGAUACGGCAGCAGUGGCUAGCAUCUGUAGCUCAGCAGCGGGCAACAUCAGUACUGCAGUAGUAUAGCAGCGGCAAACAGAAGCAAGGGCAGCACGCGGCAGCAAAGAGCGGCAAAGAGCAGCGGUAGGGGAGCCCAGAGCGUGCAGGGGCGGCCAGGGCGCGUGCG
Molecule: long non-coding RNA, 34263 nt
Filed under: Triticum aestivum (bread wheat)
Lineage: Eukaryota; Viridiplantae; Streptophyta; Magnoliopsida; Poales; Poaceae
Description: long non-coding RNA (TAES_LNC001350)
Source: RNAcentral